RNAcentral lists this ribosomal RNA (495 nucleotides) under uncultured bacterium. RNAcentral describes it as "partial 16S ribosomal RNA". It matches the Rfam family "Bacterial small subunit ribosomal RNA", at positions 28 to 507 of the family's 1533-position model. The record is from RNAcentral.
GACGAACGCUGGCGGCGUGCCUAAUACAUGCAAGUAGAACGCUGAAGGAGGAGCUUGCUUCUCCGGAUGAGUUGCGAACGGGUGAGUAGCGCGUAGGUAACCUGCCUGGUAGCGGGGGAUAACUAUUGGAAACGAUAGCUAAUACCGCAUAAGAGUAGAUGUCGCAUGACAUUUGCUUAAAAGGUGCAACUGCACCACUACCAGAUGGACCUGCGUUGUAUUAGCUAGUUGGUGAGGUAACGGCUCACCAAGGCAACGAUACAUAGCCGACCUGAGAGGGGGAUCGGCCACACUGGGACUGAGACACGGCCCAGACUCCUACGGGAGGCAGCAGUAGGGAAUCUUCGGCAAGGGACGGAAGUCUGACCGAGAAACGCCGCGGGAGUGAAGAAGGUUUUCGGAUCGUAAAGCUCGGUUGUAAGAGAAGAACGAGUGUGAGAGUGGAAAGUUCACAGUGUGACGGUAUCUGACCAGAAAGGGACGGCUAACUACGUG